UGGGUAAUAUUGCACAAUCGGCGCAAGCCUGAUGCAGCCAUGCCGCGUGUAUGAAGAAUGCCUUCGGGUUGUAAAGCACUUUCAGCGGGGAGGAAGGCGUUAAGGUUAAUAACCUUGGCGAUUGACGUUACCGACAGAAGAAGCACCGGCUAACUCCGUGCCAGCAGCCGCGGUAAUACGGAGGGUGCAAGCGUUAAUCGGAAUUACUGGGCGUAAAGCGCACGCAGGCGGUUGAUUGAGUCAGAUGUGAAAUCCCCGGGCUUAACCCGGGAAUUGCAUCUGAUACUGGUCAGCUAGAGUCUUGUAGAGGGGGGUAGAAUUCCAUGUGUAGCGGUGAAAUGCGGAGAGAUGUGGAGGAAUACCGGUGGCGAAGGCGGCCCCCUGGACAAAGACUGACGAUCAGGUGCGAAAGCGUGGGGAGCAAACAGG
RNAcentral lists this ribosomal RNA (429 nucleotides) under Chloroflexota bacterium. RNAcentral describes it as "Chloroflexi bacterium partial 16S ribosomal RNA". It matches the Rfam family "Bacterial small subunit ribosomal RNA", at positions 355 to 776 of the family's 1533-position model. Lineage: Bacteria; Bacillati; Chloroflexota. The record is from RNAcentral.